ACAGGGGUGCCUUUGGCUGAGAUGGUUUACCAAUCCCUUAUGACCUGAUCUAGUUAAUACUAGCGUAGGGAGUCAUAUCA
RNAcentral lists this non-coding RNA (80 nucleotides) under Floccifex porci. RNAcentral's name for it is "TPP riboswitch (THI element)". It matches the Rfam family "TPP riboswitch aptamer (THI element)", at positions 9 to 90 of the family's 105-position model. From Rfam's summary of the family: Vitamin B(1) in its active form thiamin pyrophosphate (TPP) is an essential coenzyme that is synthesised by coupling of pyrimidine and thiazole moieties in bacteria. Lineage: Bacteria; Bacillati; Bacillota; Erysipelotrichia; Erysipelotrichales; Erysipelotrichaceae. The record is from RNAcentral.